AUUAUCCUGAGAUGUGCGACAAGGUGUUGUAAUUCAACCUACAUGACGACAUUGGGAGCCCGGAGUUUUCGGCAAGCCUAUGUCAGGCCGUCAUCGAGCGGAAGACAGAAGCAGGAACAGGGCACCCCCCUAUUACAAGAUAGGGCGUGAAUUAUAUCCUUGACGGCAUGUCGGGAUUUUU
RNAcentral lists this non-coding RNA (181 nucleotides) under Candidatus Allocopromorpha excrementipullorum. RNAcentral describes it as "6S RNA". It matches the Rfam family "6S / SsrS RNA". From Rfam's summary of the family: E. coli 6S RNA was the first non coding RNA to be sequenced, but its function was unknown until recently. It consists of 184 nucleotides that fold into an extended hairpin structure with a large single-stranded internal bulge. Lineage: Bacteria; Bacillati; Bacillota; Clostridia; Eubacteriales; Eubacteriaceae. The record is from RNAcentral. RNAcentral also lists the same sequence under 1 other name.